RNAcentral lists this ribosomal RNA (1310 nucleotides) under Candidatus Haematobacterium ranarum. Its description in RNAcentral is "bacterial SSU rRNA". It matches the Rfam family "Bacterial small subunit ribosomal RNA", at positions 64 to 1379 of the family's 1533-position model. The record is from RNAcentral. Lineage: Bacteria; Pseudomonadati; Bacteroidota; Flavobacteriia; Flavobacteriales; Flavobacteriaceae.
GUGCGGUAUGAUUUUUUCGGAGAUCAGAGAGCGGCGUACGGGUGCGUAACACGUGUGUAACCUGCCUUUAUCAGGGGGAUAGCUCGGAGAAAUUCGGAUUAAUACCCCAUAAUAUAAUCUGUGGCAUCACAGAUUGUUGAAAACUACGGUGGAUAGAGAUGGGCACGCGCAAGAUUAGCUUGUUGGAGAGGUAACGGCUCACCAAGGCAUUGAUCUUUAGGGGGCCUGAGAGGGUGAACCCCCACACUGGUACUGAGACACGGACCAGACUCCUACGGGAGGCAGCAGUGAGGAAUAUUGGACAAUGGGUGAGAGCCUGAUCCAGCCAUCCCGCGUGAAGGACGAAGGCCUUAUGGGUUGUAAACUUCUUUUGUACGGGGAUAAACCUGUCUACGUGUAGACAGCUGAAGGUACCGUACGAAUAAGCACCGGCUAACUCCGUGCCAGCAGCCGCGGUAAUACGGAGGGUGCGAGCGUUAUCCGGAUUUAUUGGGUUUAAAGGGUCCGUAGGCGGGUCGGUAAGUCAGUGGUGAAAUGUUACAGCUUAACUGUAUCACUGCCGUUGAUACUGUCGAUCUUGAGUAGGCUUGAGGCAGCCGGAAUAAGUAGUGUAGCGGUGAAAUGCAUAGAUAUUACUUAGAACACCAAUUGCGAAGGCAGGUUGCCAAAUCUUAACUGACGCUGAUGGACGAAAGCGUGGGUAGCGAACAGGAUUAGAUACCCUGGUAGUCCACGCCCUAAACGAUGAUUACUCGUUUUUGGGGGUUUUAGAUCCUCAGAGACUAAGCGAAAGUGAUAAGUAAUCCACCUGGGGAGUACGUUCGCAAGAAUGAAACUCAAAGGAAUUGACGGGGGCCCGCACAAGCGGUGGAGCAUGUGGUUUAAUUCGAUGAUACGCGAGGAACCUUACCAAGGCUUAAAUGGGGAUUGACAGGCGCGGAAACGUGUUUUUCUUCGGACAAUCUUCAAGGUGCUGCAUGGUUGUCGUCAGCUCGUGCCGUGAGGUGUUAGGUUAAGUCCUGCAACGAGCGCAACCCCUGUCACCAGUUGCUAACAUUUAGUUGAGGACUCUGGUGAGACUGCCUACGCAAGUAGAGAGGAAGGCGGGGAUGACGUCAAAUCAUCACGGCCCUUACGUCUUGGGCUACACACGUGCUACAAUGGCCGGUACAGAGGGCAGCCACAUAGUGAUAUGGAGCGAAUCCUAAAAACCGGUCUCAGUUCGGAUUGGAGUCUGCAACUCGACUCUAUGAAGCUGGAAUCGCUAGUAAUCGCGCAUCAGCCAUGGCGCGGUGAAUACGUUCUCGGGC